CGUAGGACCCAAGCGUUAUCCGGAGUGACUGGGCGUAAAGAGUUGCGUAGGUGGUUUGUAAAGUGAAUAGUGAAAUCUGGCGGCUCAACCGUACAGGCUAUUAUUCAAACUCACAAACUCGAGAAUGGUAGAGGUAACUGGAAUUUCUUGUGUAGGAGUGAAAUCCGUAGAUAUAAGAAGGAACACCAAUGGCGUAGGCAGGUUACUGGACCAUUUCUGACACUGAGGCACGAAAGCGUGGGGAGCGAACCGGAUUAGAUACCCGGGUAGUCCACGCCGUAAACGAUGGAUACUAGCUGUUGGAGGUAUCGACCCCUUCAGUAGCGAAGCUAACGCGUUAAGUAUCCCGCCUGUGGAGUACGGUCGCAAGACUA
Molecule: ribosomal RNA, 374 nt
Filed under: uncultured organism
Description: bacterial SSU rRNA
Rfam family: Bacterial small subunit ribosomal RNA
Source: RNAcentral